Oncorhynchus mykiss (rainbow trout) is the source of this 2146-nucleotide long non-coding RNA. The record is from Ensembl. Lineage: Eukaryota; Metazoa; Chordata; Actinopteri; Salmoniformes; Salmonidae.
UGACGGGAAUACCUUUACGGAUGAGAGCCACAUUCAACUCUUCCUGGAUGGGGAGGAGCUACUCACUGAAGAGCUGGAGGACAUCUCUAUGGGAUUGGGAGUGGCAAUGGGGGGGUCCAUUUCCUUUUUAAUAUUGAACUUCGCAGUGGGCUUUGAACUGGGCACCCGCCUCAUGCCUGGGAGGAAGCCCGGUUUCAAAACGAAUCCAAUCAACUUUCACCCGGAGCAAAACACGCAUACUGUCACGAUUUCCACCGAAGGUGGCUCCUCUCCCUGUUCGGGCGGUGCUCGGCGAUCCAUUUUUUUCUUUUCGUUUGUGUCUGUCUGUUUUUUCUUUACACCUGUGUCCUAUUAGUUCAUUUCGGUGGGUUUAUUAACCUGCGCUGCCUGCUAUUCUGUGUGCGGGAUUAUUUGCUGUUGUUGCUAUGUUAGGGGUGCGUGUUUGCGCCACGGGAUUUUCUUUUAGGAGUAGAGGUUUCUCCUCCGUGUGUUGCGUUUAUUCCCUGUGUGUGGCGACUUCGUUUGGGCGUGUUCUUCCACCUGUUGUUGUUGAGUUGGGACUUCUAAUAAACGAUUGUGCUACUGGGGCUUCCUUGCUCUCCUGCUCAUGACUCCUGAACCUCCCUCAUUUUAGGAGGCACGCAACACAUACCCAGGCCAGAUGAAUCAAAUCCCCUCAUCCUCCGCUAUUUUUCAGUUCCCCCUCACCCCCACUAGGUAAAUUCUUUCUUGAGAAAUAUUUUCUUGCUAAAAAGCUAUUGUUGCCCAUUUUAAUGGAAAUCUAAAAGAAGCUACCUUUAACUCAAUUACUUUUUUAUUUUUACCCCCUUUUUCGUGGUACCCAAUUGUUGUUAGUAAUAACUAUCUUGUCUCAACCAAUGUGUCAGAGGAAACACCGUGCACCUUGGUUAGCGUCGCCCCACGGACAUCCUAGGCCAAUUGUGCGUCGCCCCACGGACCUCCCGGUAACACUAGCGCGAACAUAGAGUCUCCGCUGGCACCGCUGGCGCUGCCUUAGACCACUGCACCACCCGGGAGUUAACUCAAUUAAAUUUGUGUUCCUCUGUGAACUUGAAAUUGGAGAUUUAAGGCACGUUCCAGUAUAGGUUGUUUUCAUUGCCAGGCACUCUUCACAGAUGAUCAGAUGAGAAAUGCACUCAAUCCCAAUCGCCACACUCUAAUAAGAAAACGUUUCUGGAGGCACCUUUAGGUGUUCCUCAGAUUGCAACACUGGCGGAACCCCUAUAGGUGCUUAAAUGUUGUAUUAGGAAUGUACCUUAGAGUAAUGUGAGUGCAUUUUUUUCUCAAGAGCAUUGGAAAGCUAUGUACAUGUUAAAUUUGACAGCAAGAAAUAGCUUGCAAGUUUCCCAAGAAACUAGAUAGGUGUCGUUUAGUCUUCAGCAUUGGUACAGUUUUCAUUUGAAAGAUUCCUCAGUGAAAUGGGGCCACAGACAGGGCCCAGAUAGGCUACGUCAUACUUUUUGGGCGUGGACCAAGUUAGCAAGCUAGGAGCUAGCUAGCAGAAACAGACCGACCUGACACCCCGAAACACAUCUAGCUAGCUAUACUACCAAUCGUGGUAGUGAUAAUAUUGUCACUGAAUUCAAAUUAACAGGUAUCUAUGUUUAUUUUUCAACUAAUGUGAUUUGUGAUAAUACCUUUAGCUUGUGAGUCCUUGCUUGCUGUUUAGGUCAGCCAAUUUGAUCAAGCUAGCAAGCCAGGUAGCGAACGUUAAGCGCUAACUUAUCUAGCUAACGCCAGGCCUGACAUUUGUGUCUGACUGUCGACGAUAAUGAACUUAUUCUUAUCUAAUAACGUUAGACACACUGACUUAAUCAAGCUAGUUUGUUAUGUGUAAAUUAAAUAGUAUGUUUCGUGAUAAUGGAUUUAGCUAGCCAGCUAAAUUAAUAUAACUGACGUUAGCUAGCUAGUAGCAACAAUGUGCUAGCUACAUUCAUAAUGCGCUAGCCUGUUAGAUAGCUAAUCAUGUCUUGUGACGUUAUACAUUCUAAAUCGCUGCAAAUGCUACAUAACUUCAUUCACUUACCUAAAAGUAAAAUACAAUGUAGAUGGCCAGCUAGGUAACUAGCUAGCUGAGUAAAGGUAAUUAGCUAACGUUAUCUAAGCAUUGCAAAAAUACCCUUAU